GCCGGGCGCAGAGGUGGGUGCCUGUAAUCCCAGCUACUUGGGAGGCUGAGGUGGGAGAAUCACUUGAGCCUGGGAGGCGGAGGUUGCAGUGAGCAGAAACCAUGCCACUGCGCUCUACCCUGGGUGACAGAGUGAGACCCCUUAUCAU
RNAcentral lists this non-coding RNA (148 nucleotides) under Homo sapiens (human). Lineage: Eukaryota; Metazoa; Chordata; Mammalia; Primates; Hominidae. The record is from Rfam by way of RNAcentral.